Grammomys surdaster is the source of this 281-nucleotide long non-coding RNA. RefSeq lists it as uncharacterized. The transcript is spliced from 3 exons. Lineage: Eukaryota; Metazoa; Chordata; Mammalia; Rodentia; Muridae. The record is from RefSeq and is a predicted model, not a curated record.
GCCUGUUCGGGCCCCUUGAGGCUCAUCUGCACCCAACAACAGCCACCUCCUCUACACUUGUGACCACUCAAAGGCCAGAAGGGUCUAAAGGGGAUCAGAAGCACUAGAGAGAACUUCGGGGAGAUCUGGAGCCUUGUAGCCACAGGCUUGAGUCCUUUCUGGAAGUCCUCUUUGGUAACUUUGCCUCAGCAAAGAUUUGUGCACCCAUGAGACUUAAAGCCCUCCAUUGGAACCUUCUAGCUUCAGGGUCAAGUUUAACCUUAUCUGGCUUCAAAUUCACA